This 583-nucleotide small RNA is filed under the name Pan troglodytes (chimpanzee). Its description in RNAcentral is "retained intron". Lineage: Eukaryota; Metazoa; Chordata; Mammalia; Primates; Hominidae. The record is from RNAcentral.
AACCGCGGCGAUACUGGGAGGAAGAGACCGUUCCGACCACAGCCGGAGCCUCUCCAGGGCCUCCUCGUAACAAGAAGAAUCGGGAGCUCCGUCCUCAGAGACCAAAAAAUGCUCACAUCUUAAAGAAGUCUCGGAUCUCUAAGAAGCCUCAGGUCCCGAAGAAACCCCGAGAAUGGAAGAACCCGGAGUCCCAGAGCGGCUUGUCCGGGGCCCAAGAUCCAUUCCCAGGCCCCGCCCCCGUCCCUGUGGAAGUGGUCCAGAAGUUCUGUCGCAUUGACAAAUCCCGAAAGCUACCACAUUCUAAAGCCAAAACUCGAAGCCGACUUGAGGUGGCUGAAGCUGAGGAAGAGGAAACAAGUAUCAAAGCUGCUCGUUCUGAGCUGCUCCUUGCUGAAGAACCUGGGUUUCUGGAAGGGGAGGAUGGGGAAGACACAGCAAAGAUAUGCCAGGCUGACAUUGUGGAGGCUGUGGACAUUGCAAGUGCAGCCAAGGUGAGCCUGAGGAGGUAAAGGAGCCAAGGGAUUGAUUGGUGGUGCAGGACAAUAGAGGAAUGGGGGCUAGAAGAAGGCGUUACUGCAGGGCA